GGAGAGAUGGAUGAGCGGUUUAAGUCGCACGCCUGGAAAGCGUGUAUAGGUUAAUACCUAUCCGGGGUUCGAAUCCCCGUCUCUCCGCCA
RNAcentral lists this transfer RNA (90 nucleotides) under Paraburkholderia bryophila. RNAcentral describes it as "tRNA-Ser". It matches the Rfam family "tRNA". From Rfam's summary of the family: Transfer RNA (tRNA) molecules are approximately 80 nucleotides in length. Lineage: Bacteria; Pseudomonadati; Pseudomonadota; Betaproteobacteria; Burkholderiales; Burkholderiaceae. The record is from RNAcentral. RNAcentral also lists the same sequence under 5 other names.